RNAcentral lists this ribosomal RNA (118 nucleotides) under uncultured bacterium. RNAcentral describes it as "partial 16S ribosomal RNA". It matches the Rfam family "Bacterial small subunit ribosomal RNA", at positions 1383 to 1500 of the family's 1533-position model. The record is from RNAcentral.
GUACACACCGCCCGUCACACCAUGAGAGUCGAUAACACCCGAAGCCUGUGAGCUAACCGCAAGGAGGCAGCAGUCGAAGGUGGGGUUGAUGAUUGGGGUGAAGUCGUAACAAGGUAUC